Molecule: non-coding RNA, 232 nt
Organism: Cinara cedri
Lineage: Eukaryota; Metazoa; Arthropoda; Insecta; Hemiptera; Aphididae
Source: the annotation of a GenBank genome assembly
CACCAAAUAUAAUUUAUGCAGACUUCGAACAAGCUAUACACUCAGCUGUUUCAAAUAUUUUUCCUGAAGUUACAUGCAAAGGCUGUAGAUUUCAUCUAACAAUCAAUCUGGAGAAAAAUUCAAAAUGUUGGUCUGUCUACAGCUUUCAAAAAUAAAUCUGAAUUGGAAAACUUUUCAUUUAUUUUUUGGUCUUUCAUUUUUAAAACUGAUGAGAUUAGUAACUGUUUUUAUG